CUCCACACCCCACUGAUGUGAGUCUCAUUUCUUCACAACUCAGUCCACAUGGGGGCCAAAGAGAAUAGCUUCUGCCCACUGUGUGGAUGGCUUUGUGGUCUGCUGCGAGGUCCCGCAGAAGAGGAAGUCUGGAUGUGCCCUACUGACAUGCUCUGCCUCCUGGCCUAUGAAUCUUCUGGGUCAACUGCUGUCUAGAGUGGGCCUUGGCAGUCUUGCAGCACUGAGAAGUGAAGGAAUAUUUGGGAGGAUCAGAAGCUUGGUCCUGAUUUUGCCAUCAACAGGAACUUGAUGACUUCAAGGGAGUCCCCAAACCCUGGGUUUCUGUUUUCUCAACUCUAACAUGAGGGGCUAGAUGCAUCUGGUUUAGUUAGUCUCCAUGAUGGUUUAGUUCGUCUCCAUGAUCCUGUGAAUUUCAGAUGUUGAAAAUCUUCGGAAAAGCCCUGAAAGAUGAACAGUGGUCUCAAAUAGUCAAGACCCCCUGCUGGGAGGAGCUUCUAUCCUGCUCUGUGGAAGAAAUGGGCAUGCCAGAUGCCUGGAAGAUCAGAGGCUCACAUUCCAGUUCAAAGUUAGAGAAACCUGAGAGGGGUGUACUGGUAUGACCACCCGAGAUCCCAUCGCUGAGAAAGAUAAUGGCCCUGGAGACAAAGACUGAUGAAGAAAGACAGUAUCCAGCUGUGAUGCAGAUGAAACAUGCGGCAUGGUUGCACUCACUAUGCAGCCAAGGCUGGAAGCCACUCUGGAUCCAGCCACUCUGGCACAGCGUUCUUGCUCUAGGAAGAACAACUGAACAUGGCCACACAGGCCUCACAGCUGGCAUAUGGAGGCUGUUAAUAAGCUGAGCUUGAGGCUUCAAAGGACUCUUGUAGCCUGUGCUGGAUCUAGCAGUGACCAGUAUGCCAGUGGCCAUGGAUGCCCAGGCCCAUGUUCAGUAGUGAAGCAGGUGCUAGCAGCAGAAGCAAUAGAAAUGGAAACUGGGAGAUCUGCUGUGGAUGAAUCUCAUUAUCUUCUUUCUCUGACCCUCUUUGGACUAAAUAAACUCCCAGUAUUCUUGACCAACAGAGGUAGGGUUGGAACAGAACCUCAAAAGUCAUCAUUAGACUUCCUACUAAUAGGGCAUUGGAAGUUCAAGCGACUAACUAGGAAACAGGUUAGUAUUUGUACCCCUACACUGUGCAACAGAUUACAUACCAUUUGCUCUAUUUGGCAUCCUUUCCUUAGGCUAGAUUCCCAGAAGAAAGAUUACUGAUUCGAAGGGCAUGAACAUUUUUAUGACUCUUGGCCUAAAUUACUAGGCCAAGGUUUUUUCAAAGGGAUGCACUAAUUUUCACUAUUUCCCCACACCCUUUCAGGUGAUAAAUAAUUGACUUGAUUUGUUUACACUGACGCCAAGAAUUCUUGGGAAGAAGGAUCAAAGUGAAAAGUGGUAGCCCAUGGUGGGGAGGCCACACUCAGUGCAGUUGUGAAGUCAGCAGCAUUUUUAAGCCCAUUCAUUGCCAGUAGCCCUGAGAUGAGCAUUCCCAAGCUGCUUCCCAGGUCCCUCCUCCACUCUCUCAGGGACAUCCAUUCUGUACCAGCCCCCUCAGAUACUCAUGCCCUUGCCCUCCCUUCUCCAUGCUCAUUAAAACCAGCUUAAGAGCAGAUAUGACAUCAGUCACUUACCUUUUCGUGUGGCUCUAAAUCAAAGUGUCACCUCUCCCAAGCACAUGCUUGCAUCUUAGCUCUGAUUGAGGAAUGAAAAGCUUUGUUCUCUGUUAAAAGAACUUUGAGCUUAGAUGCCCCAGACUGAGAAAUCCACCAAAAGCUGGACCUUUGACUUGAGCGGCAAAGGACCCCCAUAGUCAGGCUGUGAUUUGAGGAGCAUCAAGAGGCCAGAGUUUCCAAGUUGGGACCCAGAAGGUGGGGUUGGCAGGGGGAGGGUAGGAGCAGCUGGAGACUCUGCUCUACCAGGGGAAUACGGAGGUGGGGACCAAUCCCAGGGUAAGGAAUGAAAGUAGGAGCCCCAGAAGCUGAAAACAUACUUCACCGAUGUCAGCAUUUUACCCAGAGCCAUUCCAAGGUGACCAUAACUCACUUAAAAGCCUGAAAGCUGUUUUAUGCCAACUAAUAAAGUGCAGUUUAAUAAAAAAGUUGUCAAUCAUUUUUAUAUAAAAUGUAUUUGGGGCAUGAAUG
This 2169-nucleotide long non-coding RNA is filed under the name Homo sapiens (human). RNAcentral describes it as "HSALNT0030242". The record is from RNAcentral. Lineage: Eukaryota; Metazoa; Chordata; Mammalia; Primates; Hominidae.